This 453-nucleotide long non-coding RNA is filed under the name Equus caballus (horse). Its description in RNAcentral is "lncRNA (ENSECAG00000053376.1)". The record is from RNAcentral. Lineage: Eukaryota; Metazoa; Chordata; Mammalia; Perissodactyla; Equidae.
CUCUCCACCUGCGUUGGCUGGACCUGUGAGCAGCUCUGCCUUGUGACUCGCUAGGGUCUGGCUGACGGUCAGCUCCUGCAGGAGGUCUGAGGGAGAAAGGAGAAUGCGGUCAGGCCCCUGUUCCCUUCGCUCUUACUGUGAGGUCAUCUCAGGCUGGCUGUCUUUCCACACCUCUUAAGGGCCCAGCAUACCCAACAAAGUUCAGCAGAGGUUGUGGUAGGAGCUAUCUUUGUCUUGUUUCCAGCCUCCACGGGAAAGAGCCACCUGGGGCAAGACGACUGUAAAAAGCCAUGGGACACCUUCUUCAAGCUUCAAGUUCAAGAGAAUGAGAGCCGUCACUCUUCCAGUGGAACACGUGACCUGAUUGAUUAUGUCUUAUUCACACGUCCAGCCCUGAAGCUGUGGUGGCGUCAACUCAUCUUGAAGCACGUGGAUGGGGUUGGAGAGGAGGAU